UAUUAAAGGUCCCGCCUGCCCAGUGAAACUAUUUUUUAACGGCCGCGGUAUUCUAACCGUGCAAAGGUAGCGUAAUCACUUGUCUUUUAAAUAAAGACUUGUAUGAACGGCUAAAUGAGGAUAAAUCUGUCUCCUAUGACCAAUCAGUGAAACUGAUCUCCCAGUACAAAAGCUGGGAUAACAACAUAAGACGAGAAGACCCUGUGGAGCUUUAAACUAAGUACUAAUAAAACCAACUAGUAUAAAGUUUUAAGUUGGGGCGACUUCGGAAUAAAACAAAACCUCCGAGCACAGAAUCACUACUUCUUACCAAGGCCAACAAGCCAAAAACAAACCGACCCAGUCCACACUGAUCAACGAACCAAGUUACCCCAGGGAUAACAGCGCUAUCUUCUUCAAGAGUUCCUAUCGACAAGAAGGUUUACGACCUCGAUGUUGGAUCAGGACACCCAAAUGGUGCAGCCGCUAUUAAAGGUUCG
This 479-nucleotide ribosomal RNA is filed under the name Sphenomorphus stellatus. Its description in RNAcentral is "partial 16S ribosomal RNA". It matches the Rfam family "Bacterial large subunit ribosomal RNA", at positions 1844 to 2575 of the family's 2925-position model. Lineage: Eukaryota; Metazoa; Chordata; Lepidosauria; Squamata; Scincidae. The record is from RNAcentral.